GCGUGACUACAAAUCACAGUCAGUGUUUCACAUUCAGCUUUAAGUGGUCGAUUAUGGUCUAUUUAUAACGGCACGCUGAUUCAAAUGCAUCCUGUGCAAGUAUUCAAUGUAACGUCAUGUUUAUGAAAGCUGGCCUGGCUGCAGACAUGUGAGCCCCUACGACUGUGGACAGUGGCUGCAUCGUUGUUGUGAAGACGGAAGUGACAAGAGGACUUCCCUCUGGACAUUUCUUCAGUCUUUUCUGGGGACAGCAAAAGGAUUACACCGCCGCCUGACGACACACCAUCCGUCAUGUCAUCCGCGUACAAAAACAGAAUCCUGGAAUUCAAAGAAACCUUGAGUGAAGAAAACAUUAACCUGAAGACCCUGAGGGAGCUGUGCUUCAAUGGAAUCCCAUUUGAAGGGGGCAUCCGGGCACUUUGCUGGAAAAUCCUUCUCAAUUAUCUGCCUUCUGAUCAGACAUUAUGGGAGUCUUUUCUCAAAAAGCAGAGGUAAGAAGAGCACGCUGAUCAAAUAAAGUAUCAAUCAGCACAGCUGGUGACAGAAGCUAAUG
Molecule: long non-coding RNA, 553 nt
Organism: Pungitius pungitius (ninespine stickleback)
Lineage: Eukaryota; Metazoa; Chordata; Actinopteri; Perciformes; Gasterosteidae
Exons: 4
Source: RefSeq, a predicted model, not a curated record